GUGCUCGCUCCAGCAACACAUAUACUAAAACUGGACCGAUGCAGAGAAGAUUAGCAUGGCCCCUGCGCAAAACUAUGCUCUUAUAUUAUUAAUUCAACAUUUGUUU
Molecule: small nuclear RNA, 106 nt
Filed under: Chinchilla lanigera (long-tailed chinchilla)
Lineage: Eukaryota; Metazoa; Chordata; Mammalia; Rodentia; Chinchillidae
Source: RNAcentral